This is a long non-coding RNA of Dreissena polymorpha, 543 nucleotides long. RefSeq lists it as uncharacterized. NCBI's taxonomy places the organism in Eukaryota, Metazoa, Mollusca, Bivalvia, Myida, Dreissenidae. The transcript has 3 exons. The record is from RefSeq and is a predicted model, not a curated record.
UUUGACAGUGGAUUACGAGAACUCUUGCAAGAUGAUUAUCGAAUGGUUGGGAUUGUAUUUGCUCUUACCAUACUACAGAAUGGGAAAUUGCCAACAUUCAUGAAUGCAACUGUUUUGGAGGAAUUAUGGAAUUCAGCUUACCCAUCUUCCUGUAUUAAACAACUUAGAAUAGGACUUGACACCCUUGGAAUAUUUGAGCUUCUGACCCGGCUGCCUUCAUUACAGUUUCUCUUUCAUGCAACUCCUGUAACUCUAACGUUGAAGAGGCUUAUGAUCAUUUUGAAAGCUGUAUUUAGUGAGAAUGGGUCCAACAGACAAACCCUAGAAAAGGAUGUGUAUGCAAUAUUUGUGAAAUAUGUAAGGGAAGUGGCUAGUAAGUAUUUGCAAAUAUAUGACAUACUUUUCAGUUCUAAUGUGCACCAAGUGCUCUCCCCCAACUGUUUUAUGUAUGAAAAGUUAAAGAAAACAAUAAUUUAGCAAAAGGAGCAAUUGCUCACCAUUUAUAAUUAAUCCUUUUUCUAUGCAGUAAUAAUUGUAUGUUAU